This 783-nucleotide unclassified non-coding RNA is filed under the name Hevea brasiliensis (rubber tree). The record is from RNAcentral. Lineage: Eukaryota; Viridiplantae; Streptophyta; Magnoliopsida; Malpighiales; Euphorbiaceae.
AAAUUGGGUUUCUUCACGCGUUAAAUUUCUGUUCAGAUCUUGUUUUUUCAUCUAUAAACACUUCAAUUUUCAUUUGUUUAGAUUACCCUUUUGCAAAAACCUCAGGGUUUAUUGUUCUUUUUAGCUCCAAAGUUUGAAAAUUGAAUUGGGUUUUGUGAGAUCUGAGAUUUUUGUUAGGUGGUAUUGGAGUUUUCAAGGAUUUAAGGGAAUCCACUUGCUUGUUUUCUUGAUUUCUAGGUAAAAAAUUUGUAAAAAUUGGAUCUUGGUUGAAGUUUGACUAGUGGAAGUUGAGAUUUUUGUGUGUUGAUUUGGUAGGGAAAGUUUAGAUAUUGAGACCCUUUUAGUUUUAGGUGAGAAUUGAAGCUUUUUGUUGUGUUAGUUAGGUGGGGAAGUUAAGAUCUUGAGACCCUUUUAGCUGAAAGUUUUGAAGAAGUUGGGUUUUGAGGAUCUGGUUCAAUGGGUAAUUGUUGUGCAGUACCAAAAACUUCAGAAACAGAGGAGAAGAAAAGGGGGAAGAAUAAGCCAAAUCCAUUUUCUGUUGAUUAUGGUCAUCAUGGGAAUGGACACAAGUCCUAUGUGUUGGAUAAUCCAACUGGUACUGAUAUUGAGGCAACGUAUGAGUUAGGGCGUGAGCUUGGUCGAGGUGAAUUUGGGGUUACAUAUUUGUCUACUGACAAAGUAAGUGGAGAAGUGUAUGCUUGUAAAUCAAUAUCGAAGAAGAAACUUAGGACUCGAGUGGAUAUCGAGGAUGUAAGGAGAGAAGUUGAGAUCAUGAAGCAUUUG